This 289-nucleotide ribosomal RNA is filed under the name uncultured bacterium. RNAcentral's name for it is "partial 16S ribosomal RNA". It matches the Rfam family "Bacterial small subunit ribosomal RNA", at positions 29 to 306 of the family's 1533-position model. The record is from RNAcentral.
AACGAACGCUGGCGGCGCGCUUAACACAUGCAAGUCGAACGAGAAGCUGUAGCAAUACAGUUGUAAAGUGGCAAACGGGUGAGGUAAUGCGUGGGUAAUCUACCCUAGGGUGGGGGAAUAACUCCUCGAAAGGGGAGCUAAUGCCGACAUGUGCGCCACUCUCGCAAGGGAUGAUGGAAAGCCGUACCGUGGGUGCGGCGCCAAGGAUGAGCUCACGUCCAUCAGCUUGUUGGCGGGGUAACGGCCCACCAAGGCUGCGACGGGGUAGCUGGUCUGAGGAGGACGACCA